AAACCUUUUCUUAGACUUAUUCAUACCUCCUGUUCUGUCCUAUUUCGUUCUCUCGUUUUCCCACUUCUGGAUUACUUAUCAGUGUUGAUGCGCCUAUUGCAACGUAUUCUUGUGCAGUCCCAGGCCAGCAGCCCUUGCCAACAUGCAGCACGCAAACAGAAGAACCAUUGCAAGAGUUCCGGGCCGCAAAUAUUGGUAAUCAUUUGAUGUACUUGCACAUAUUUACUCGAAUUUAGCGUGACAACGAUUGUGCGGCACUCAACCGUGGUGCACCGCGAAUAUGAACACGAUGGUGGCGAAUAUGUGAGUAAAAAGCGGCGCGCAUCCUGGCAAAGUAUGACAAGAGCUUUCAGCCGCUUUUAUUGUUUCUUUUGCUUCCGCGACGAGAGUACGCCCUGCAUAAAACGGGAGCAACAGCAAGUAACAACGUGCAAUUUCUACUUCAACGGAAUCUCUGUGCUGCCGUCAGCAAACAGCUUUAUCAGGCGUAAGAUAAUCGGAAGCCCGCGCUAUGCUGUUAAACGCUCGCUUCGGACGCAGGUGAUUGUACAUCACAGGCCGCCAUUGGGUGUGUCGCGCUGUUCUUGAGAUCGACAUUCACGCGCAGUUUUAGCGUAUGCCGCCCCACAGUUUCCCGCACAGUAUAAUCAUAACUAUUGGAGAGCGAACCCUGUUCCCACCACCAUAAUUCGGAUAAUUCUUGUGGUCCCGCGAAAUCUGAAUUUUUCUGUUAUUCGUAUUUAACGCAGGGGAUGGCUUCAAGCAACAAAAAUUUUCAAGAACAAAAAAAAAAACGCUUGUUGCAAUUGAGUAAAUGCGACACCUCUGCCCAUAUAUUUCCCGUGAAGUUAGUCUUAGCCCAGAGACAGUUAUGACACGUGGCCAUAGUGAAACUGCUUUCAAUGCCGCAUUCAAAUCAAAAGGCAUUAGAAUUAGUUUUACAUGCUACGGUACUUCACGGAGCGUAACAUCUCAGAAAGUAAUAAAUCAGUCUGAUUUCUUUUCUCUGCAGAUGGGGAGGAGGAUCAUCCGGUAUGCGAUAUUUCAAACGUGCGGACGUCGUCUCCAAUCGCAAGUGAUGCAGCCCGUCUCACGGAUGGGCUUGAAGCAGCUCGCCGAUCUAAAGACCCACAGCCGAGUAACACGCCUUCUGCCAGCGAGCGAGUUGUCGACCAAGCUGAAACUUCGGACGUCGGCGCAGAUAGAAAAACUCUGGCAAGCCUUCACUGGUCAGUAGACAACAAGCUGCCCGAGUUUUCUGCUUUCGUUCAGCCACUGCUCAAUGGAAUGGAAAUUACGGAAGAACACCUCAAACAGUCGAAACAACUUCGCCAUGAGCUGAUCCAUUUUCUCGAGUAAGUAAUACACUAAGGCAUGGCUGUUUGUUUCUCAAGUAUUACUUGAAAAGGAAGUCUAUGAAAGCGGCAAGUACUGGCUUGCGUUUCUAUAUGUAAUGGUAUUAUCUAUACUUUUACGGUUAAAACUAAACGCGUCAUCGCUGCAGUUACAUGUAACCUGUUUCGAGCUUGGCAAAAUUCUUCCACAGAAUUAAUAAAGCCGAAAGUAUUACCUUCUCACUUUGUUUCAGUGAAAACAAUGCAAUUCAGGACAAAAAUACUGCCCUACGUCGAUGGAAGUACUUUGCGUUAGGAGAGACACUCGCAAAUAUGUAUCCCAACAUGCUUUGGGAAAAAUCGCGGAAGGACGUAAGAGGACGUACAAAAGGACCAAAGGCUGUAUUUCUGUCGCGGCUUGCGGAGGCAAGACGGCACAGGGCACAACGACGAGAAGCAAGUGAAGCUUCCAAGAAGGCUCCACUCCAGGCCGCAGCUCUGUCCUUAGAGCCCCAGUUAAUCGACUCCGAAUCUGCGUCGAUAGAACUGGAAUUGGGAAGGCUUCAGGUCCAACAGGACCUUUUAACAAAGAAAGAAUGGUGGUGCUGUUGCACAGCACUAUCAAGAUGCGCAAGGCCAACCCACCCGCUCGGCUGCCAAGCUUUUUUUUGAACGAAGAAAUUCUUGGCAUCGAAGCAGAGAUAAGGUUUAACCAGAAGAUAGUCGAAAUCGUGAACGGACUGAACAAAGUUAAAGAGCUCGUUACAAAACUGUACAGUCGUGAUAUGGACUUCGCCAGCAUUGAUGAGGAGCUGAGAGGGAGACACGCGAAACACUCGCUGAUUGCUUCAGGUCGUACUUCAGACGAGAACGGGCCCGGACCAAGGAUUCUGUGGACUGAGUCUUCAAAGAGCAUCUAUUGUACAGAGGGCGAAGUUGUCAUCUUGCGCAAAGAAAGCAAGCUUGAAGAAGCAAUGACGCUCUGCCUCGCUGUAUAUUAUAUUAAGGACCUCGCAUAUCCAAGCGCUUUCGCCCAAGCUUUAGGCCUCGUGCAAAGUGCGCUGAGCAACGUUGAAGAGUUCCCGCGGUGCUGGAUGAGCAGCAAGCUUAUAAACAUUGUAACAAAGAUGAAGAAGUUACAUUACACCUGCUGACAAAAAUU
Molecule: non-coding RNA, 2496 nt
Organism: Dermacentor andersoni
Lineage: Eukaryota; Metazoa; Arthropoda; Arachnida; Ixodida; Ixodidae
Source: RefSeq, a predicted model, not a curated record